GUUCACCUUUGCUUUAUUCAAUCAAGACGGAGCCAUGUGUUGAGAUUGGAUUCACUUUCUCCAAGCGAAGGGUUAGCAGAGACUAGAGAGGCAAAGAUUUAUAAUACAAUGGCCACUGGCUCAGGAUCACUAUUCAAUCAUUCAAAAAAAUACUAUUCGGCAAAUGAACUAUUUAAGGGACUAUAUAUGAAUUACCUUUACAUCCAAUUUACGUUCUAAUGUGAGAGUGCUAACCUUGCUUGGGAUAGCCUGCUGCCAGAUUCCAUCCGUUUAGCUACUAUAAGAAAUAUGGUUUUCUGACAUUAGUUGAUAGCAUAUAUAGACUAGGAAAAGGACAAGCCCGAGUUUUCAUGGAUUGCUUGUAUUUCAAACAACCACUAUGCUGUUACUGGCUUACUGCCAUUUCUGUCUAUUAUUUAUGUUAUUGUGG
This 430-nucleotide long non-coding RNA is filed under the name Linum usitatissimum (flax). Its description in RNAcentral is "long non-coding RNA (LUSI_LNC001539)". Lineage: Eukaryota; Viridiplantae; Streptophyta; Magnoliopsida; Malpighiales; Linaceae. The record is from RNAcentral.